AGGCUGCAACCCGCCUGCAUGAAGUCGGAAUUGCUAGUAAUCGCGGAUCAGCAUGCCGCGGUGAAUACGUUCCCGGGCCUUGUACACACCGCCCGUCACACCAUGGGAGCCGGUAAUACCCGAAGUCAGUAGUCCAACCCCGUGAGGACGCUGCCGAAGGUAGGAUUGGCGACUGGGGUGAAGUCGUAACAAGGUAUC
RNAcentral lists this ribosomal RNA (198 nucleotides) under uncultured bacterium. RNAcentral describes it as "partial 16S ribosomal RNA". It matches the Rfam family "Bacterial small subunit ribosomal RNA", at positions 1302 to 1500 of the family's 1533-position model. The record is from RNAcentral.